AGUGAACGCUGGCGGUAGGCCUAACACAUGCAAGUCGAACGGCAGCACAGUAAGAGCUUGCUCUUACGGGUGGCGAGUGGCGGACGGGUGAGGAAUACAUCGGAAUCUACUUUUUCGUGGGGGGUAACGUAGGGAAACUUACGCUAAUACCGCAUACGACCUACGGGUGAAAGCAGGGGAUCUUCGGACCUUGCGCGAUUGAAUGAGCCGGUGUCGGAUUAGCUAGUUGGCGGGGUAAAGGCCCACCAAGGCGACGAUCCGUAGCUGGUCUGAGAGGAUGAUCAGCCACACUGGAACUGAGGCACGGUCCAGACUCCUACGGGGGGCAGCAGUGGGGAAUAUUGGGCAAUGGGCGCAAGCCUGAUCCAGCCAUACCGCGUGGGUGAAGAAGGCCUUCGGGUUGUAAAGCCCUUUUGUUGGGAAAGAAAAGCAGCAGGUUAAUACCCCGCUGUUCUGACGGUACCCAAAGAAUAAGCACCUGCUAACUUCGUG
RNAcentral lists this ribosomal RNA (492 nucleotides) under uncultured bacterium. RNAcentral describes it as "partial 16S ribosomal RNA". It matches the Rfam family "Bacterial small subunit ribosomal RNA", at positions 29 to 507 of the family's 1533-position model. The record is from RNAcentral.